AGAACGAACGCUGGCGGCAUGCCUAACACAUGCAAGUCGAACGUGAUCCAGGCUUCGGCCUGGUGAAAGUGGCAGACGGGUGAGUAACGCGUGGGAACCUGCCCUGUGGUAGGGAAUAACCGUGGGAAACUGCGGCUAAUACCCUAUGAGUCCUUCGGGAGAAAGAUUUAUCGCCAUAGGAGGGGCCCGCGUCGGAUUAGGUAGUUGGUGGGGUAACGGCCUACCAAGCCUUCGAUCCGUAGCUGGUCUGAGAGGAUGAUCAGCCACACUGGGACUGAGAUACGGCCCAGACUCCUACGGGAGGCAGCAGUGGGGAAUAUUGGACAAUGGGGGCAACCCUGAUCCAGCAAUGCCGCGUGGAUGAUGAAGGCCUUCGGGUUGUAAAGGUCCUUUCGGCGGGGAAGAUGAUGACGGUACCCGCAGAAGAAGCCCCGGCUAACUUCGCGCCAGCAGCCGC
Molecule: ribosomal RNA, 457 nt
Filed under: uncultured bacterium
Lineage: Bacteria
Description: SSU rRNA
Rfam family: Bacterial small subunit ribosomal RNA
Source: RNAcentral